RNAcentral lists this ribosomal RNA (692 nucleotides) under Antrostomus vociferus. Its description in RNAcentral is "partial 12S ribosomal RNA". It matches the Rfam family "Bacterial small subunit ribosomal RNA", at positions 521 to 1508 of the family's 1533-position model. The record is from RNAcentral. Lineage: Eukaryota; Metazoa; Chordata; Aves; Caprimulgiformes; Caprimulgidae.
UCAUACAAGAGACCCAAAUUAACUGUAAUACGGCGUAAAGAGUGGCANGAUGUUAUCACAACAACUAAGAUCGAAAUACAAUUGAGCUGUCAUAAGCUUAAAAUGUACUUAAGGCCCCCCUUAACACGAUCUCAGCACCAAUGAACAAUUUCACUACCACGAAAGCUAGGGCACAAACUGGGAUUAGAUACCCCACUAUGCCUAGCCAUAAAUCUCGACACUUGUUUAACCAAAGUGUCCGCCCGAGAACUACGAGCACAAACGCUUAAAACUCUAAGGACUUGGCGGUGCCCCAAACCCACCUAGAGGAGCCUGUUCUAUAAUCGAUAAUCCACGAUCCACCCAACCGCUUCUUGCCAGAACAGCCUACAUACCGCCGUCGCCAGCCCACCUCAUUGAGAGCACAACAGUGGGCUAAAUAGCCCUACCGCUAACAAGACAGGUCAAGGUAUAGCUCAUGAAGCGGAAGAAAUGGGCUACAUUUUCUAACAUAGAAAACCCACGAACAGGGGCAUGAAAUUGCCCCCAGAAGGCGGAUUUAGCAGUAAAGAGGGAUAAUUAAGCCCCCUUUAAGACGGCACUGGGGCACGUACAUACCGCCCGUCACCCUCCUCAAAAAGCUAUCAAACCCUAUAACUUAAUACAUUAAUCAGCCAAAGACGAGGUAAGUCGUAACAAGGUAAGUGUACCGG